GCACAUUCGUCUAACACCCCGUAAACCGAGACCUCUAGGGUGUCUAAAUCACGUCUCUCAUACCUUGUCUAAGGGUGGCAAGGAAUAGUAACUCCA
Molecule: non-coding RNA, 96 nt
Filed under: unclassified sequences
Description: PhotoRC-II RNA
Rfam family: PhotoRC-II RNA
Source: RNAcentral